UACAAAAGGAAUUUGGAGAAUAGUUUAUUGCUCUGCCCUCCAGCUCUUCAAUCAGAGAGGAGAGACAACAGGGUGCUGAGAAGGUGUGGAUUAUCCAAUCUGUAUCCUCUUUGGUUUGGCAGUCAUAACAGACUUCUUUCAUCAAAAUAAAUAAAUGCCCCAAAUCUCCCAGAUAUUUACAGGAUAAACAGUGACCAGAAAGAGAGAGUUCUUGGGUUCCUUCUGCCAUAUUCAUGACGCUCAUGAAAAAUAGCUGAGGAGAUGCAACUUCCAAGCAUUCCUGCCACAUGAAAAAGUUUAAGAAGCUGUUUCCCACUGAUGAAUUUGGAGUCAGGACUCAGACCAACCAAUUCAUUUUCUGGACUUCAUCAUCAUGCUCUCACAUGGCUAUCUCCUUGCCUC
RNAcentral lists this long non-coding RNA (402 nucleotides) under Phascolarctos cinereus (koala). RNAcentral's name for it is "lncRNA (ENSPCIG00000006482.2)". Lineage: Eukaryota; Metazoa; Chordata; Mammalia; Diprotodontia; Phascolarctidae. The record is from RNAcentral.